RNAcentral lists this ribosomal RNA (505 nucleotides) under uncultured bacterium. RNAcentral describes it as "bacterial SSU rRNA". It matches the Rfam family "Bacterial small subunit ribosomal RNA", at positions 34 to 507 of the family's 1533-position model. The record is from RNAcentral.
CGCUGGCGGCGUGCUUAACACAUGCAAGUCGAACGAGAGGAGAAGGAAGCUUGCUUCUUUCAAAUCUAGUGGCAAACGGGUGAGUAACACGUAAACAACCUGCCUUCAGGAUGGGGACAACAGACGGAAACGACUGCUAAUACCGAAUACGUUCCUUAGGUCGCAUGACUUUAGGAAGAAAGGGUGGCCUCUACUUGUAAGCUAUCGCUUUGCGAUGGGUCUGCGUCUGAUUAGCUAGUUGGUGGGGCAACGGCCUACCAAGGCGACGAUCAGUAGCCGGUCUGAGAGGAUGAACGGCCACAUUGGAACUGAGACACGGUCCAGACUCCUACGGGAGGCAGCAGUGGGGAAUCUUCCGCAAUGGGCGAAAGCCUGACGGAGCAACGCCGCGUGAGUGAUGACGGCCUUCGGGUUGUAAAGCUCUGUGAUCGGGGACGAACGGUCAGCAGACGAAUACUCUGCUGAAGUGACGGUACCCGAAUAGCAAGCCACGGCUAACUACGUG